AGAGUUUGAUCAUGGCUCAGGAUGAACGCUAGCGGCAGGCUUAACACAUGCAAGUCGAGGGGUAUUGGUUUUCGGACCAAGAGACCGGCGCACGGGUGCGUAACGCGUAUGCAAUCUACCUUUUGCAGAGGGAUAGCCCAGAGAAAUUUGGAUUAAUACCUCAUAGUAUAGUACCUUGGCAUCAAGGAACUAUUAAAGUCACAACGGCAAAAGAUGAGCAUGCGUCCCAUUAGCUAGUUGGUAAGGUAACGGCUUACCAAGGCUACGAUGGGUAGGGGUCCUGAGAGGGAGAUCCCCCACACUGGUACUGAGACACGGACCAGACUCCUACGGGAGGCAGCAGUGAGGAAUAUUGGACAAUGGGCGCAAGCCUGAUCCAGCCAUGCCGCGUGCAGGAUGACGGUCCUAUGGAUUGUAAACUGCUUUUAUACAGGAAGAAACACUCCGACGUGUCGGAGCUUGACGGUACUGUAAGAAUAAGGAUCGGCUAACUCCGUGCCAGCAGCCGCGGUAAUACGGAGGAUCCAAGCGUUAUCCGGAAUCAUUGGGUUUAAAGGGUCCGUAGGCGGUUUGGUAAGUCAGUGGUGAAAGCCCAUCGCUCAACGGUGGAACGGCCAUUGAUACUGCCAGACUUGAAUUACUGGGAAGUAACUAGAAUAUGUAGUGUAGCGGUGAAAUGCUUAGAGAUUACAUGGAAUACCAAUUGCGAAGGCAGGUUACUACCAGUGGAUUGACGCUGAUGGACGAAAGCGUGGGUAGCGAACAGGAUUAGAUACCCUGGUAGUCCACGCCGUAAACGAUGGAUACUAGCUGUUGGAGGUAACUU
This 826-nucleotide ribosomal RNA is filed under the name aquatic bacterium R1-C4. RNAcentral's name for it is "bacterial SSU rRNA". It matches the Rfam family "Bacterial small subunit ribosomal RNA", at positions 8 to 835 of the family's 1533-position model. The record is from RNAcentral.